This is a long non-coding RNA of Actinia tenebrosa (Australian red waratah sea anemone), 791 nucleotides long. The record is from RefSeq and is a predicted model, not a curated record. Lineage: Eukaryota; Metazoa; Cnidaria; Anthozoa; Actiniaria; Actiniidae.
AUUCUGCACGAUGGAAUAUAGACCUGUGUGUGGAUCAGAUGGCAAGACUUACAGUAACCCGUGCAUGCUGAGAGUAGCUGCCUGCAACCAGAACAAGACCAUCACAGAAACUGACUUCUCUAAAUGCGGUGCAAUUAAUCAGCCAUAAUCGAUGCAAUAAAAUUGAAGAAUCUUGACGCGACCUAAUUUUACAUUCUUUUGUCUUAUUGGUGUUAAGUAACAUUUGAAGCGCUAUAGCCACCAUGUUGGAUAAAUAAAGAACAAAURUAUUUUUAGAUUUUUAGAUCUUCAACGUAGCAAUGCUCAUUAAGUUUCACAGCUUUUUGGAGUCUUUAGAUUUUACUGUAUUAGCCAACUAGAUAACCAAUCUAUCAUCUACCAAACUUCUAACUCUUUUCCAAAAUACAUUAAUCAAGUAUUAAUAGCAAUAACUUUCAUAGCAUUUUUGAAUAUAUUGAGAAGUGAAGGGACCAAGAGGUAACCUGUGGGACGCCACAGYGAGCAUCGAAACCUGGCAUAAUUCGUUGACAUUUCGAUGAUUAUCUUACACGUUCAGCAUAAAAGCGAAGUAGCAAGUAACGUCUACUGAUUUUUAUCAUAAAGUUCAACAACUUCUGAAAUUUUGGCCCUCAGUUUUUACUUGAAAAGAAGCGAGAAGACAAAAGCGAUAAUGAUCAAACACAUUGAAGUGUGAACUUUUAUAGCUGAGCUUGGCGGAGCWSCUGCAAGUAAGAAAGAUGAUAUUUUGUUCAAGUUUGUUAAAAAUAAAAGCAAAAUAUGUAUUGUGUUAA